UAAUACGAAGGGGGCUAGCGUUACUCGGAAUUAUUGGGCGUAAAGCGUGCGCAGGCGGUAAUGUAAGUUGGUAGUGAAAUCCUGGGGCUUAACCUCAGAACUGCUGCCAAUACUGCAUAACUAGAGUGUAGGAGGGGAUGAUGGAAUUCCUAGUGUAGAGGUGAAAUUCGUAGAUAUUAGGAGGAACACCGGUGGCGAAAGCGAUCAUCUGGCCGAACACUGACGCUGUUGCACGAAAGCGUGGGGAGCAAACAGG
RNAcentral lists this ribosomal RNA (256 nucleotides) under uncultured bacterium. RNAcentral's name for it is "partial 16S ribosomal RNA". It matches the Rfam family "Bacterial small subunit ribosomal RNA", at positions 521 to 776 of the family's 1533-position model. The record is from RNAcentral.